This 494-nucleotide ribosomal RNA is filed under the name uncultured bacterium. RNAcentral describes it as "partial 16S ribosomal RNA". It matches the Rfam family "Bacterial small subunit ribosomal RNA", at positions 28 to 507 of the family's 1533-position model. The record is from RNAcentral.
GACGAACGCUGGCGGCGUGCUUAACACAUGCAAGUCGAACGGAAAGGCCUGGUUUUCGUUGUGGACUCGGGGUGCUAGAGUGGCGAACGCGCGAGUGACACGUGCGUUUUCUUCUGCCAUAUCUGCAAUAAACUGGGGCAACUACGUCUAAUUACCGAUUGCUCCGCAGGGUGGUGUGGGUGGUUGAGACGGUUUUGGUUGUGGUCGCGGAUGAGCUCGCGGUUUAUCAGCUUGUUGGUGGGGUAGUGGUCUACCAAGGCGGCGACGGGUAGCCGGCCUGAGAGCGUGGACGGCCACAUUGGGACUGAGAUACGGCCCAGACUCCUACGGGAGGCAGCAGUGGGGAAUAUUGCACAGUGGGCGGAAGCCUGAUGCAGCGACGCCGCGUGGGGGAUGACGGCCUUCGGGUUGUAAACUCCUUUCGACCGCGAGGAAGCCACCUGGUUGGAAGGGUGGUGACGGUAGUGGUAGAAGAAGCACCGGCUAACUACGUG